RNAcentral lists this ribosomal RNA (426 nucleotides) under uncultured bacterium. RNAcentral's name for it is "bacterial SSU rRNA". It matches the Rfam family "Bacterial small subunit ribosomal RNA", at positions 359 to 776 of the family's 1533-position model. The record is from RNAcentral.
GAAUUUUCCGCAAUGGGCGAAAGCCUGACGGAGUGACGCCGCGUGGGGGACGAAGGCCUUCGGGUUGUAAACCCCUGUCAGAGGGAAAGAAGGCGGGGCACGUUAACAGCGCGCUUCGUUGACGGUACCUUCAGAGGAAGCCCCGGCCACCUCUGUGCCCGCAGCCGCGGUAAGCCAGAGGGGGCAAGCGUUGCUCGGAAUCACUGGGCGUAAAGGGCGCGUAGGCGGGAUGGCAAGUCGGUCGUGAAAUCCCUGGGCUCAACUCAGGGGGGGCGGCCGAUACUGCCGUUCUUGAGGGAUGCAGAGGAGACUGGAAUUCCCGGUGUAGCGGUGAAAUGUGUAGAGAUCGGGAGGAACACCGGUGGCGAAGGCGGGUCUCUGGGCAUUCCCUGACGCUGAGGCGCGAAAGCGUGGGGAGCAAACGGG